Molecule: long non-coding RNA, 555 nt
Filed under: Homo sapiens (human)
Lineage: Eukaryota; Metazoa; Chordata; Mammalia; Primates; Hominidae
Description: HSALNT0133855
Source: RNAcentral
CAAAAAGCUGGCAUCCUGGCCUCAAGGUGAUACUCCAGCUGAGGCCACCUCCUUGUUCAGCUCGUCCCCUGCUCCAUUCUUCUUCCCUCCUUUUCUCCUGAGAUCACUUUCUUAAUCAGCCACCUGCAGAAGAACCCCCAUCUCAGGUUCCACUUUUAGGGAGCUCAACUUCAGACAGGAUUGGCACAGCCAGGGGCUCCAAGGAUGGCCGAUGAGGAACAGUGUCUGAAGUAGUGUUUCCCAAAGAGUCACCCCUCUGGCUAUGUGCAAAUCCAUGGUUCAGACUCCAGACUGUGGAAUCAAAGUUUCUGGAGUGAAUGAAACGAACCACAUUUUUAUUGGCUUCUGGCUUACUCAGUCCUCCAGAAAUCUAGAUGCUCUUUCAAAGUGUAAGAUAAGUUUUCCUUCUGCUUCAUCGUGGCAGAGACUACUCACAUGUUCAUGAAACCCAUUUAUUCUCCAAAUCUCCCAGUCUGCCUUGCCAUUAGGAGUGGCUGUGUGAUUGAAUUCCAGCUACUGGGAUGUGAUAAAUGCUUGGCCUCCAAAAUAUCUUUC